AGACCCGAAACCCGGUGAUCUAGCCAUGGGCAGGUUGAAGGUUGGGUAACACUAACUGGAGGACCGAACCGACUAAUGUUGAAAAAUUAGCGGAUGACCUGUGGCUGGGGGUGAAAGGCCAAUCAAACCGGGAGAUAGCUGGUUCUCCCCGAAAGCUAUUUAGGUAGCGCCUCGUGAAUUCAUCUCCGGGGGUAGAGCACUGUUUCGGCUAGGGGGCCAUCCCGGCUUACCAACCCGAUGCAAACUGCGAAUACCGGAGAAUGUUAUCACGGGAGACACACGGCGGGUGCUAACGUCCGUCGUGAAGAGGGAAACAACCCAGACCGCCAGCUAAGGUCCCAAAGUCAUGGUUAAGUGGGAAACGAUGUGGGAAGGCCCAGACAGCCAGGAUGUUGGCUUAGAAGCAGCCAUCAUUUAAAGAAAGCGUAAUAGCUCACUGGUCGAGUCGGCCUGCGCGGAAGAUGUAACGGGGCUAAACCAUGCACCGAAGCUGCGGCAGCGACACUCAGGUGUUGUUGGGUAGGGGAGCGUUCUGUAAGUCUGCGAAGGUGGCCUGUGAGGGUUGCUGGAGGUAUCAGAAGUGCGAAUGCUGACAUAAGUAACGAUAAAGCGGGUGAAAAGCCCGCUCGCCGGAAGACCAAGGGUUCCUGUCCAACGUUAAUCGGGGCAGGGUGA
RNAcentral lists this ribosomal RNA (675 nucleotides) under Salmonella enterica subsp. enterica serovar Infantis. RNAcentral describes it as "partial 23S ribosomal RNA". It matches the Rfam family "Bacterial large subunit ribosomal RNA", at positions 711 to 1382 of the family's 2925-position model. Lineage: Bacteria; Pseudomonadati; Pseudomonadota; Gammaproteobacteria; Enterobacterales; Enterobacteriaceae. The record is from RNAcentral. RNAcentral also lists the same sequence under 2 other names.